This 460-nucleotide ribosomal RNA is filed under the name uncultured bacterium. Its description in RNAcentral is "partial 16S ribosomal RNA". It matches the Rfam family "Bacterial small subunit ribosomal RNA", at positions 338 to 795 of the family's 1533-position model. The record is from RNAcentral.
CCUACGGGAGGCAGCAGUGAGGAAUAUUGGUCAAUGGCCGGAAGGCUGAACCAGCCAUGCCGCGUGAAGGUCAGUGCCCUAUGGGCGUUAAACUUCUUUUGUGCGGGAGCAAUAAUGGUCACGUGUGGCCAGACGAGAGUACCGUACGAAUAAGCAUCGGCUAACUCCGUGCCAGCAGCCGCGGUAAUACGGGGGAUGCAAGCGUUAUCCGGAUUUAUUGGGUUUAAAGGGUGCGUAGGCUGUGAGGUAAGUCAGCGGUGAAAUGCCCCGGCUCAACGGGGUGAAGUGCCAUUGAUACUGCCUGGCUGGAAUGCGGAUGCCGUGGGAGGAAUGUGUGGUGUAGCGGUGAAAUGCAUAGAUAUCACACAGAACACCGAUUGCGAAGGCAUCUCACGAAUCCGCGAUUGACGCUGAUGCACGAAAGCGUGGGUAUCAAACAGGAUUAGAUACCCCAGUAGUC